AUGUUGUCCAGAAACUGCAGUUAAUACAGUAGGGCUAGGAAUAGGAUUAAAAAAUAUGGCACUGUGGGUCAGGCUGCAGCACCAGAGCACGUGCUCACGCAUAACGGGGGCCAACUGUUCACCCACUUGCCUGGCGGCCUUUUUAACCUUGAGCGACACUG
Molecule: small nucleolar RNA, 161 nt
Organism: Pteronotus mesoamericanus
Lineage: Eukaryota; Metazoa; Chordata; Mammalia; Chiroptera; Mormoopidae
Source: RefSeq, a predicted model, not a curated record